UUGACCUUUGAUCAACGGGUCUCGCAUUAUUCUUGAAUACCCUUGUGGAUGUGUGUUAUGUGAAUUUCAUAUUCUAUGGAUAAGAGUUCUGAGACGUGGUUUGAUAACUGUUUUAGUCGCCGAGCGUUCAGGACGCCUUGGUUCUGAUGUUAGGGAGUCGUAGCGCGGACCCCAGGUGAGUGGGCAUUUGUUUUCUAUAUAUACCUAUAUACUAUUGAUUUUUCCCAGAAAUCGGAUUUAAAUGAAAGUAUGUUUUAAAAUGCCAUGCAUACAUUAUAUGAAUUGAUAAUUGAUGCAUAUAUAUAUAUAUAUAUAUAUAUAUGUGUGUGUGUGUGUGUGUGUGUGAAUUGGUGCUGUGGACGCACAGGUGAAUAUUAGGUGAGUUUUAUGUUAAUCAUGUGAUUUAUUGUGAUGUGAAUUGUAUUGAAAGCUCAAACCUGCACCCCUGGUGUUAGUGCUUAUAUUAUUCACCCCGCACCAUACGCUCACCUUGGAUCCAAGUAGGUGCAUGUCGUAUAGACCAAUAGAGGGUUCCGACAUGUCGUACAGACCAUGAGAGGUGGUUCCGACUAUAGGUGACUUUAGAUUAUUAUACAGCUGUUGAUAAGAGAAGCACUAGAGCAUAUUCUUACACCAUUCUUGUCGUACAGACUACUUCAGGUAGUUCCGAUUUAUUUGCAGAGUAGUGCCGUAUAGGUCACAGUUGGUGACUUCGGUUGGAUUGGAUAUUGAGCUAUAGAAUUAACAGUACAGGACCAGCUGCAGGGUCUCCGGUUGAUUUAUCAUUUCACCUGAUUUAUAUUGAUGCAUCCAUAUUAUGUUUCGAUGCAUUGCAUGGCAUAUUUUCUGAAAAGUGUUAAAGGAUUGUGAUUUGAGAUAUUUGCUGAUAUAUAUGGUUAUAUAAAUUAUUUUCUGGGAAAGUAUACAGGUUUUUUAGCGAGGGGUUAUGAAUGUUGAUAAAUGAGAUAUUCUUGAAAAGCUUUAUUUUCGCCCACUCACGUUUUCUGUUUUGCGCCCUUCCAGGUUCUAGUAGCAAAGUUCCUUAUCGACGAGGAUUCGUGGCAUGUCCCUGUUAAGGUGGCUAUUUUUGUGGGUAUGGUUUCUACCUACAUUGCUGUACUUGACUGUGCUCUGACAUUACGUGUGAUUUGGGUUCAUACCCACGCACAAUGCACUCGGUUAUUUAGGCACCUUUAGGUUUGAAUUUAUUUGCAUCUUUCCUUAUCAUCACUUUAUGGCUUCGUCACCUUCCAGAUGGUGGCCAGCACAGCUCGAUUCGGAGUCCUAGUGGACAUUCCGGAUCGGGGUGUGUCAACAAUGCCUCUUCAAGGCUUCCAUUGUCAAAUCUAGAACAAACAUAUGAAGAUGAAUUACUUAGAGAAUUGGACUAUAACCUCUUAUGGAGCGUUAUUUUCAAUUAGGGCUUGAACUUUACUAAUCUCUACUUAAGAAGAGUUCAAAGUUUAUAAACUAUAUAU
This 1478-nucleotide long non-coding RNA is filed under the name Malus domestica (apple). RNAcentral describes it as "long non-coding RNA (MDOM_LNC019495)". The record is from RNAcentral. Lineage: Eukaryota; Viridiplantae; Streptophyta; Magnoliopsida; Rosales; Rosaceae.